This 472-nucleotide ribosomal RNA is filed under the name uncultured Streptococcus sp. RNAcentral describes it as "bacterial SSU rRNA". It matches the Rfam family "Bacterial small subunit ribosomal RNA", at positions 910 to 1382 of the family's 1533-position model. Lineage: Bacteria; Bacillati; Bacillota; Bacilli; Lactobacillales; Streptococcaceae. The record is from RNAcentral.
UUGACGGGGCCCGCACAAGCGGUGGAGCAUGUUGGUUUAAUUCGAAGCAACGCGAAGUAACCUUACCAGGUCUUGACAUCCCGAUGCUAUUUCUAGAGAUAGAAAGUUACUUCGGUACAUCGGUGACAGGUGGUGCAUGGUUGUCGUCAGCUCGUGUCGUGAGAUGUUGGGUUAAGUCCCGCAACGAGCGCAACCCCUAUUGUUAGUUGCCAUCAUUCAGUUGGGCACUCUAGCGAGACUGCCGGUAAUAAACCGGAGGAAGGUGGGGAUGACGUCAAAUCAUCAUGCCCCUUAUGACCUGGGCUACACACGUGCUACAAUGGUUGGUACAACGAGUUGCGAGUCGGUGACGGCGAGCUAAUCUCUUAAAGCCAAUCUCAGUUCGGAUUGUAGGCUGCAACUCGCCUACAUGAAGUCGGAAUCGCUAGUAAUCGCGGAUCAGCACGCCGCGGUGAAUACGUUCCCGGGCCUU